CGGCCGCGGGAAUUCGAUUAGAGUUUGAUCAUGGCUCAGGGUGAACGUUGGUAGUGUGCUUAACACAUGCAAGUCGAGCGGAAGAUGAUAGCAAUAUUAUCUUUAGCGGCGUACGGGUGAGUAAUGCUUAUUUGAUCUGCCAAUUAGUGGGGGAUAGCCAUGAGAAAUCGUGGGUAAUACCGCAUUUGUUGCGUAUUCGUUUACGUAAUGAAAGGAGGUCUUUAGACCUUCGCUAGUUGAUGAGAAUAAGUCGUAUUAGCUAUUGGGUGUGGGUAAAUCCCACCAAGGCGAUGAUCCGUAGCUGGUCUGAGAGGAUGACCAGCCACACUGGGACUGAGACACGGCCCAGACUCCUACGGGAGGCAGCAGUGGGGAAUAUUGGACAAUGGGCGAAAGCCUGAUCCAGCAAUGCCGCGUGUGUGAAGAAGGCCUGCGGGUUGUAAAGCACUUUCGGUAGGGAAGAAGGCCUUAGUGUUAAUAGCACUAAGGAUUGACAUUACCUACAGAAGAAGCACCGGCUAACUCUGUGCCAGCAGCCGCGGUAAAAUCACUAGUGAAUUCGCGGCCGCCUGCAGGUCGACCAUAUGGGAGAGCUCCC
Molecule: ribosomal RNA, 598 nt
Filed under: uncultured Gammaproteobacteria bacterium
Lineage: Bacteria; Pseudomonadati; Pseudomonadota; Gammaproteobacteria
Description: partial 16S ribosomal RNA
Rfam family: Bacterial small subunit ribosomal RNA
Source: RNAcentral